This 474-nucleotide ribosomal RNA is filed under the name uncultured bacterium. RNAcentral's name for it is "bacterial SSU rRNA". It matches the Rfam family "Bacterial small subunit ribosomal RNA", at positions 65 to 524 of the family's 1533-position model. The record is from RNAcentral.
AGCCAUCUUUGGGAGCUUGCUCCCAUUGGUUAGCGGCGGACGGGUGAGUACACGUGGGCAACCUGCCUGUAAGACUGGGAUAACUUCGGGAAACCGGAGCUAAUACCGGAUAAUCCUUUCCCUCACAUGAGGGAAAGCUGAAAGUCGGUUUCGGCUGACACUUACAGAUGGGCCCGCGGCGCAUUAGCUAGUUGGUGAGGUAACGGCUCACCAAGGCGACGAUGCGUAGCCGACCUGAGAGGGUGAUCGGCCACACUGGGACUGAGACACGGCCCAGACUCCUACGGGAGGCAGCAGUAGGGAAUCUUCCGCAAUGGACGAAAGUCUGACGGAGCAACGCCGCGUGAGCGAAGAAGGCCUUCGGGUCGUAAAGCUCUGUUGUUAGGGAAGAACAAGUAUCGGAGUAACUGCCGGUACCUUGACGGUACCUAACCAGAAAGCCACGGCUAACUACGUGCCAGCAGCCGCGGUAAU